RNAcentral lists this ribosomal RNA (206 nucleotides) under uncultured bacterium. RNAcentral describes it as "partial 16S ribosomal RNA". It matches the Rfam family "Bacterial small subunit ribosomal RNA", at positions 568 to 774 of the family's 1533-position model. The record is from RNAcentral.
AGCGUAGGCGGACUUUUAAGUGAGAUGUGAAAUACCCGGGCUCAACUUGGGUGCUGCAUUUCAAACUGGAAGUCUAGAGUGCAGGAGAGGAGAAUGGAAUUCCUAGUGUAGCGGUGAAAUGCGUAGAGAUUAGGAAGAACACCAGUGGCGAAGGCGACUCUCUGGACUGUAACUGACGUUGAGGCUCGAAAGCGUGGGAGCAAACA